RNAcentral lists this long non-coding RNA (1121 nucleotides) under Selaginella moellendorffii. RNAcentral describes it as "long non-coding RNA (SMOE_LNC000395)". Lineage: Eukaryota; Viridiplantae; Streptophyta; Lycopodiopsida; Selaginellales; Selaginellaceae. The record is from RNAcentral.
GAAGCAAGUCGCGAGUUGAGGUAUGUUCUUGAUUUUAAAUUACUAAGAUCGCCAGUAAAUACUUUGUGCUGAAACUUUUGUGACAGGUAGUUCUGCGCAUCGUUGACAAUGCCAUUCGCAACUCUCUCUGCCACUAUUGAGAUCGUGCUGACCGGAUUCAGUCCAACUGAGCAUGGAAUCAAAGAGGCGUCGCAAACGUACAGGCCUGCGUGAACUUUUGUUGUCUUCCUGAACUGACCGUUGCUCGUCUCAGGGAAGAAAAUCUGGCCGUUUGCGUUUGCCACGCCGGUGGAUGAGUCUGUUGCUGCGUUGCAACCUCCCAAAAGAUGAACGGCAGCACUUCUGAAGCGACUCAUGUACAGCUUCCCACGAAGGCGAGCUGCCAACUUUUCAGCGGUCCGAAGCUUAUGAUGAAAAAGUAAGUCCUUCGCUGCACUGUAUGCCACUCUUCCUGUUACCUUGUCUAGCUUGAUUUGCCCGUCAGCAGCGUCAUAUCCCAUCAUAUUCAAUACCAGAGCUUGGCUGUUCUGCGUUCCUGUCCAUUGUUUGACUUGUUCCCAGAUACCAGUGAGAAACCCGUAGUCCCCUAGGCCAUAAGUAAUGACUCCCCUUAGUAGAAAUUCUGGAGCAGCUUGAGGAAUACAAGAGCCCUGAAAGAGGUGUUUAGCUUGAUAUAAGCUUAUUUCACUCAUAUUACCUGUAUUGUAAAGCCAAGUGAUGAUGUAUGUGAACUUGAUAUGACUGGACCAGGACGUAGCUGCAUGGGAGUCCUUGAGAAAUCUUCUUCUCGAAGUCCUUGAGCUUGAGUCUGUGCGGCUGUGCCUGUUAUGUAAGCUAUAUUAUUUCCAUUGCAGCUAACUCCGUAUCCCAACUGUUGGGACAGUUGUAGGCCUCGCUCUUUUGAUCGUAAGAGGAUCCCAUUCGUGCCAAGAACACCAGCUGAAGAAAGAAGGGGCAGCAAAUAUUAGCAACGAAAGUUUCGAGCUUCUACAAGAUAGUACCGGCUACGAUGAUGUAGUCUGCCGAAAUAUAAUCCACUUCAUUCAGGUGCACACGCCAUCUUCUUGUAGCUACUGAUUUGCAAUUUGCUCCAUCAUUGCAGGGUUGACAACAGAAUUCUU